GUUUGAGAUAGAGAAUCUAUUCUAUCUUAACCUGUUUUGACACCAAAAAAUGCAGUGAAGUUAUUUCUAGAAAAGAAAUAGGAAAAUUUUUUAAGAGUUGAGUCGUUCAUUACUGAAAAUUGUAUUUCAUACCUACAAUUAUAUAUUGUGGGGGACUCUAACAGGGUCGUUCAAUGGAAAAAAGUAAGAAUAAGAAAAUGAGAGUGAUCCAGAUUUAUCACAGCUAUAGAAGAAUUUCAAUAUUGGACUCAACUCAAAGGUUCAGACUGUAUGUACGAUUUAUCUGAUCUUAUAACUAGUUAGAAUUUUUUUUUCUAGUAAAUCAUGAAUUUGUCUCGGACAGUAUUAAAAAUCUUAUCGAAAGCUUACGGUAGCUUGCCAAACAAAAGCUAAUAGAAAAAAGAAUAGAGGUAUUACUGGCAUAACAUCUACUAUUGGAUUCAAAAAAGCGUAGGCCUCAGGCAAUUUGGCGACGAAAAAACUACUUGAAUAAAG
Molecule: long non-coding RNA, 495 nt
Organism: Cucurbita moschata (crookneck pumpkin)
Lineage: Eukaryota; Viridiplantae; Streptophyta; Magnoliopsida; Cucurbitales; Cucurbitaceae
Exons: 2
Source: RefSeq, a predicted model, not a curated record